UCACAGCUCUUAAUUUUAGGAAGAAUGAGUAAAUGAAUGAAUAACCCGGGCGAAUCAAAAGGUACGUCGCUGGUAUGCAAUCCGUUUGACGUGCUGUCUACUUAACUGUGUCGGGUUAUUGACGGAUGUAAAAUUUUUAGACGGUUGGUUUAGAUUUGUGCUUAAAAUUGACGUGUGAUCCAUAAAUUUUAUGCUUGUCGAUUACCCGU
Long non-coding RNA from Pectinophora gossypiella (pink bollworm), 209 nucleotides. RefSeq lists it as uncharacterized. The transcript is spliced from 2 exons. The record is from RefSeq and is a predicted model, not a curated record. Lineage: Eukaryota; Metazoa; Arthropoda; Insecta; Lepidoptera; Gelechiidae.